RNAcentral lists this non-coding RNA (241 nucleotides) under Roseivivax isoporae. Lineage: Bacteria; Pseudomonadati; Pseudomonadota; Alphaproteobacteria; Rhodobacterales; Roseobacteraceae. The record is from RNAcentral. RNAcentral also lists the same sequence under 1 other name.
GAGCAUGUCGCAAAGGCUGGUGCCCGUGUAAACGGGUGAAAAGGGAAGCUGCAGCCGGGCCUGGCCCCGGCGAGGCACGCCGCCCCCGCGACCGUAACCGGAGAGGUCGCCCAGGUGCCACUGGUCCCGCGAGAGGGCCGGGAAGGCCGGGCGACCGUCGGAGUCCCGCAUGCGCCCCACGGCGCCGCGUCGGGCCCCGGGAUCCGCAAGCCGGGAGACCUGCCAGCACGAAACGACGUGG